GACGAACGCUGGCGGCGUGCCUAACACAUGCAAGUCGAACGGAAAGGCCCUGCUUUUGUGGGGUGCUCGAGUGGCGAACGGGUGAGUAUCACGUGAGUAUCCUGCCCUUGACUUUGGGAUAACUUCAGGAAACUGGAGCUAAUACCGGAUAGGAGAUCCUGCUGCAUGGUGUGGGUUGGAAAGUUUCGGCGGUUGGGGAUGGACGGGCGGCUUAUCAGCUUGUUGGUGGGGUAGUGGCUUACCAAGGCAUUGACGGGUAGCCGGCCUGGGAGGGUGACCGGGCACAUUGGGACUGAGGUAGGGCCCAGAGUGCUACGUGAGGCAGAAGUGGGAAAUAUUGCACAAUGGGCGGAAGCAGGAUACAGCGACGCCGGGUGCGUGAUGACGGCCUUCGGGGUAUAAACCGCUUGCGCCUGUGACGAAGCGUGAGUGACGGUAAUGAGUAAAGAAGCACCGGCUAACUACGUG
RNAcentral lists this ribosomal RNA (468 nucleotides) under uncultured bacterium. Its description in RNAcentral is "partial 16S ribosomal RNA". It matches the Rfam family "Bacterial small subunit ribosomal RNA", at positions 28 to 507 of the family's 1533-position model. The record is from RNAcentral.